UACGGAGGGGGCUAGCGUUGUUCGGAAUUACUGGGCGUAAAGCGUACGUAGGCGGCUUGCCAAGUCAGAGGUGAAAUCCCACGACUCAAUCGUGGAACUGCCUUUGAGACUGGUUCGCUUGAAGAUGGGAGAGGUCAGUGGAAUUCCGAGUGUAGAGGUGAAAUUCGUAGAUAUUCGGAAGAACACCAGUGGCGAAGGCGGCUGACUGGACCAUUCUUGACGCUGAGGUACGAAAGCGUGGGGAGCAAACAGG
RNAcentral lists this ribosomal RNA (253 nucleotides) under uncultured prokaryote. Its description in RNAcentral is "partial 16S ribosomal RNA". It matches the Rfam family "Bacterial small subunit ribosomal RNA", at positions 524 to 776 of the family's 1533-position model. The record is from RNAcentral.